RNAcentral lists this long non-coding RNA (2352 nucleotides) under Equus caballus (horse). RNAcentral's name for it is "lncRNA (ENSECAG00000045192.1)". The record is from RNAcentral. Lineage: Eukaryota; Metazoa; Chordata; Mammalia; Perissodactyla; Equidae.
CACCCCCCCACCAACAUCCUCCUUGUCUUUAGCUGAAGAUAAUAUUUAAGUGGUCGCUUUUGCCAUUUACUUAAUCCGGUUUGAUUAUCUAAAAGUCAUAGGACCACCCAUUAACCAGACCCUACCAGCACUGAUAACAUUUUAACAGUCCUUUUUACAUAUUCUUUCCUUUGUCUUGUAAAGAGAUAACUCACAUACCUAUGCCUUAAAUUUAGCCUGACUCUCCACCCAUGUUUGCAGCAGCAGCAGUGGCAGCAGCAGCUCCUCCUGCCCGUGGGUCCUGUCCCUGUGCAGCGGCUCUGACUGCCCGUGGGUCCUGUCCCCAUGCUAUUCCACACUAUUCUCUAAAUAAAAGAGCACUACUGCCAGACCUUGAGAGUCCAAGAAAUCUUUCUUUCGACUCAUCCACUCACCAACCCCACAUCAGAAAAUAAUUAAAAUUUUACCGAGAAACAUUAUGCAAGUUCUAAAUAAAUUGGUAGAAAAACUAUGUUCCUGGAUUGCACAAUUUGGUGUUAUAAAAAUAUCAAUUCUCCUCAAAUUACUCUAUUCGCUCAGUGCCUUCCCAAUCAAAAUCUCACUAGGAGAUUUUGUAGAAUUCGACACUGAUUUAAAAUGUAUUUAGAAAAUGAAAAUUAUAAAGAAUAAGCAAGAUACUUUUGAAAAGACCUGAGGUACCAGGUAUUCAAACUCAUAACGCUAGAGUUAUUGAGACAAUGAGGAACUGGCACAAGGAUGGGUAAAUACGCCAGUGGAACAGAAUAGAAAACUGAGGAAAAGACCCAUGAUUGUAUAGAACUGUGGUGUAUGACAGAGGGGGCAUGUCAGGAUGGUGAAGCAAAAAUGGUCUAUACAGUAAAUGGAGCUGGAUAAAAGGAUUAUCCAUAUAGGAGAUGAUGAGAUUGGAUGUUUGGUUCAUCCAUAUAAAAAUCAAUCCUAGUCAAGAACUUAAUGUUAUAAGAAAAUGUUUAACCACUUACAGCCUUAAAAACUAAAACCUCUGGAUCUCUCUCAAUAAGCAGAAAUUUUGCAAAAAUCAGAUGAGAAAUUCAAGAUUAACUUGUCAGAUUAAAUCUACCUCACAAAAUUACUCUAUCCAAAAAUCUAUUCACAGUAUUAACAAAAUAUUUGCAGAAAGUAAAAACAAACAUUCAUUAAUAGUAACCAAACAAGGAGAAUGUCAAACUAUAAUGCCUUAAGAUACAAAAAGUUAUACCCAAAGGAAGGGAUAUUGCACAGUAGUUAGUUCAGUUUGGCCAACCUCUUCACCCCAACAUCACAGUACUGUGAUUUUACAAAUCCUUCAAGCUCUUCCGAAACACAACUGAGUUGAUCAUUUAUGUACUCCUUCUCCCACCGUCCCUACCCAAGGAAUGACUUGAAAGACACAGGGAAAAUGAGCAACAGGUCAUUUACCUGAUGGAAGCAGAAACUUCAGAGCUGUACCAGGAGUUGGGGAAUAGAUCUGAAGCCCAAGGAUAUCCUCCCAUGCAAAUGCAAACACCCAAUGCAGACUAAGUAUUCUACAAGAUCUUGCAAAUAGCCUCAAAUGAGCAAAAUGGGUUAGUCGCAUUGAGAACAUUGUCUUCUCAUUCAAAGGUGGGAGAGAAUGGAAGAAGGUGAACAAUGAAGGAAGAAUCUUGAAUGGCUCUAAAAAUUGUCAGGCUCAGUAGUCUUUGGAGUGUGUCAGCAUCACAGACAUAUAUACACAUAUUAUUUUAAAAUCAUUUAAAAAGGACAAAUACCCAUACUUCUUUCAUCCAGCACUGCUAAUAAGGCCAUGAGCAUUUAUAUACAUUUCCAUUCCUUAUUGUGUAAAAUAUACUGCAUUAUCUCUAUAAGAGCACACUAAAUCUGCAAUAAAGUGGCAUUAGUGAAAGAUAUAAGAUCAAUAUAAAUCUUUUCUAGUUACAACUUUGGAAUCUGAUAAAACGUGCUGCUUGGCCAAUCUGACUUGGUGAAUACCAAAGUUUUGGAACUUAAAAUGUGCUGAAUUAUGCCUUCUAGCUGUGUGAUUCAGUGCCAAUCCCCAAGCCACUAUUAUGUGGCUUGUCAUGAUCUUUGAAAUUUUUUUAAAACUGUGCUUCAUUAUAAUUAUAUCCCUUUAUGCUAGACAAAAUUUUAUGUGCUGAGUAAUAUGGCUUGUGCUGCACCAGUGCCAUAUAACUGGGACUGUGCUGAUGAAUGGGAAGGUCUCCUACACUCCUCUUCCCAUCCUUCAAAAAUAAUUUUCCGUAUUCACUUGUGGUGUGUGCAGUUUAUAACAUGAAGAACAACAGAUCAAUAAGAAAAUUUCCCUUAAUACACUUAGGUACAUUAUGAGAAAGAAAAGGGAAUAUGCAAACCUUGAAU